Molecule: long non-coding RNA, 1197 nt
Filed under: Gallus gallus (chicken)
Lineage: Eukaryota; Metazoa; Chordata; Aves; Galliformes; Phasianidae
Description: lncRNA (ENSGALG00010001032.1)
Source: RNAcentral
CCUGGUGCUGGAGGAAAAAGGCUUCAUCAACGUGUCCAUUUAAUCAGGUAGUCUGCAGUUGACACCAACACAAGAUUCCCUUUGUUGUCUCUGUUUUUAACUCUGACCCAGGGGUUUUUGAUCAUGACUGUUCUUCAGGGACAGUUCUUCACACUCUGUCCCUUUAUAUAGGGGGUAACACCUUAUCCCCUCCUUCCUUGCCUGCACAGAUUCCUUGAUGAAUUCGUACAGUCUGGUACUGAUGAUUUCUUUGUCCUUCAUGUUCCUGGAAAUAUUUUCCAAACUUAGCUCUUCUAUUUCCUUUACUGGGAUCAAGGUGGCUUGCAGUCCCCUGGGUCUUCCUUCAUUCCCUUCUAGAAAAAAGGAGUCAUAUUUUCUUUCCUCCAGUCUUCAGGUACUAUUCUCAAUUGCCACAGUCAAGCAAAGAUUUUUGAGAGAGGUCUAAUAAUCACAUCUGCCAACUCCUUCAGCAGUCCUAGGUGCCUUCCAUCAGGGCCUGAUGGAAAAAAAAAAAAAAAAAAAAAAAAAAAAAAAAAAAAAAAAAAAAAAAAAAAAAAAAAAAGUAAAAAAAAAAAAAAAAAAAAAAAAAAAAAAAAAAAAAAAAAAAAAAAAAAAAAAAAAAAAAAAACCCUUCCCUCUAACACCUAAUUUAAAUUUCCCCUCUUUUAGUUUAAAAUCAUUCCUAUUGCUCUCUACCCUUGUAGAGAAUUUAUUUCCCUCAAAAACAAAUGUUUUGUCUCAAGUUGUUUUUGAGCAUUACUGAUUGCAGAAACUUUGGGAGUAGAAAUGGAUGCUUGAUGAACAUUUGAUCAGAGCUUUUAUGUCAUUGUAUAUCUCUGCAGUUCAAAAUAUUUUCUCAUUGAAUAUGGAACUGAUUGGAAGACACAUGCUGUCACAAUAAGUAUAAAUAUUACCUUUAAUUUUAAAACUACAUACCGUGUCAUUUAGUAAGAGCCAGGUGAAGAUACUGAAUAAAAGGCUAAUCUGUUAGGUUGCUAAGAGUAGUUGAGCACGAACAAUGGGAACGAUAUGGGGCCAUUAGUUAGGGGUGGGGUUUGGGGCGAAGAAUAGGUGUGGAAUAUUGCACUGGUGUCCACAGUUUACGGGUUGGUCCGGCCCGGUUUCGUGACUAGUGGGGCAGAGGGAUUUCUUUUCCAAAAUCCGCACCUCCGGAAAAGGGAAACAGGGGACCCCCCC